RNAcentral lists this ribosomal RNA (574 nucleotides) under Acinetobacter sp.23ANGIII. RNAcentral describes it as "bacterial SSU rRNA". It matches the Rfam family "Bacterial small subunit ribosomal RNA", at positions 73 to 642 of the family's 1533-position model. Lineage: Bacteria; Pseudomonadati; Pseudomonadota; Gammaproteobacteria; Moraxellales; Moraxellaceae. The record is from RNAcentral.
AGGUAGCUUGCUACUGAUCUUAGCGGCGGACGGGUGGGUAAUACUUAGGAAUCUGGCUAUUAGUGGGGGACAACGUUCCGAAAGGAAUGCUAAUACCGCAUACGUCCUACGGGAGAAAGCAGGGGAUCUUCGGACCUUGCGCUAAUAGAUGAGCCUAAGUCAGAUUAGCUAGUUGGUGGGGUAAUGGCUCACCAAGGCGACGAUCUGUAACUGGUCUGAGAGGAUGAUCCGCCACACUGGAACUGAGACACGGUCCAGACUCCUACGGGAGGCAGCAGUGGGGAAUAUUGGACAAUGGGCGAAAGCCUGAUCCAGCCAUGCCGCGUGUGUGAAGAAGGCCUUUUGGUUGUAAAGCACUUUAAGCGAGGAGGAGGCUACCGAGAUUAAUACUCUUGGAUAGUGGACGUUACUCGCAGAAUAAGCACCGGCUAACUCUGUGCCAGCAGCCGCGGUAAUACAGAGGGUGCAAGCGUUAAUCGGAUUUACUGGGCGUAAAGCGUGCGUAGGUGGCCAAUUAAGUCAAAUGUGAAAUCCCCGAGCUUAACUUGGGAAUUGCAUUCGAUACUGGUUGGCU